AAAAAGACAAACUCUGGGUUUUCGUGUUCAACUUUGACUGUCCGUCUUAUAUGAAAUUUUUUUUAUAAUUCGUAUUUUUAUUGUUGUUAGAUGAUAAAACAUGAUUAAUAUUUUAUACGUGACUUGUCUUUUUAAUUUUUUUCAUAAUUUUUUUAAAUAAGACGGACGGUCAAAAGUUGGGCACGGAAAUCAGGGUUUGUCUUUUU
This 206-nucleotide microRNA precursor is filed under the name Oryza barthii. RNAcentral's name for it is "MIR812 microRNA precursor family". It matches the Rfam family "MIR812 microRNA precursor family". Lineage: Eukaryota; Viridiplantae; Streptophyta; Magnoliopsida; Poales; Poaceae. The record is from Rfam by way of RNAcentral.